Molecule: ribosomal RNA, 459 nt
Filed under: uncultured bacterium
Lineage: Bacteria
Description: partial 16S ribosomal RNA
Rfam family: Bacterial small subunit ribosomal RNA
Source: RNAcentral
CCUACGGGAGGCAGCAGUGAGGAAUAUUGGUCAAUGGCCGUAAGGCUGAACCAGCCAAGUAGCGUGAGGGACGACUGUCCUAUGCAUUGUAAACUUCUUUUAUCCGGGGACAAAGUCGUCCUCGUGUGCCUGUCCGCAGGUACCUCAUGAAUAAGCAUCGGCUAACUCCGUGCCAGCAGCCGCGGUAAUACGGAGGAUGCGGGCGUUAUCCGGAUUUAUUGGGUUUAAAGGGGGCGUAGGCGGGCUGUUAAGUCCGCGGUAAAAUGCUGGGGCUCAACCCCGGCGAGCCGCGGAAACUGGGGGUCUUGAGAGGGCGAAAGGCAGGCGGAAUGCGCAGUGUAGCGGUGAAAUGCUUAGAUAUCGCGCAGAACCCCGAUUGCGAAGGCAGCAUACCGGAGGGGAACUGACGCUGAGGCACGAAAGCGCGGGUAUCGAACAGGAUUAGAUACCCCAGUAGUC